This 3303-nucleotide long non-coding RNA is filed under the name Gallus gallus (chicken). Its description in RNAcentral is "lncRNA (ENSGALG00010029115.1)". The record is from RNAcentral. Lineage: Eukaryota; Metazoa; Chordata; Aves; Galliformes; Phasianidae.
GGGUGAUGUAUUUACAUUUUAGGGUCUCAAUUCAGAGAUGAAAGCAUUAAAUAGUCCUGACUGAUCACAGUUCAUACUGAUAGAAAAUCAGAAAAAUACUUGGUAUGAAACAUGUAGUAGUGAAUCAGACCCAAAGCUUGUUGUUUUGCGUCAAGAUAUAAUGCCAAAAACAAACUGUAUUUCAUUUCAAUAUUGAAAACAUCAAACUCAGUAAAUAACUGCAUGUGUAGGUUUCUCCAUAAUUGAGGAUAUGUCUGGAUAGAAUUCCUAGGCUGAUGUAAAGUAGCUGUCAAAUUUUGUUAGUUUAGCUAACGUUGGUGGAAACCUGACCUUGCAAGUGGCCCAUGCGUUUGCACUGGGGGAAAUGAACUUAAGAAACUUUACCAGUGACUUGUCUGUUAAAGCACAUAACCAUUUGAUUACAUUUGCAGGUGCAAUUGAUGAGCCAUCAAAAUGUACUUCCUAUUUGGUGGUGCAGAUUUUCAUCUUCUGUUACCUUCAAGGUGCAAACACAGGGCUUGGUCUGAAGCUCAUUUAAAAUUCAAUUCAUUCUUUCAGCUUGUCAGGCUAAGCAAUCCUGAUAGUGGAGCAGCAGGCUGCUCUGCUUCCUCUGGAAGACAGUAUUUUAUAUGCUUCAAGGCAAUGUUAAGGUGCAUUAUAAUGAACUUCUCUUGAGUAUUCCUUUCCUAGGUUUACCUCAGACUGAUUACAGUCUGACAAGCAGUCAUCUGUCCAGUUCAAGAACUGAAUAAUGAAAUGUCUUGCUGACUUCUUUGAUCUCUCUUUUGUGGCCUGCAUUUGGCAGCUUAAUUUAUGUGUAUUGCUUUCCAUCAGCAUUGUUUUGACUGUGAACUUUCAUGUUUUUCUGUCAUUACUGCUUUAACUCUUGGAACCCUAACCAUUCUGCCCUUACUACUUUUCUUGAAAUUUUCACCUUCUUGGAUCUUCUCCUUUUCUUCACUGAAAAGAUACUAAAUUUCUUCACUGUUUUUGCUCAUAAAGCAGUAGAUACCUCCAAAAUACAUCCUCCUGGCUUUGCUGCACCCUUUCUCAGUAGGAUGAACAAAUUUCCUGAUGCUGAAAUACAUACUGUACUAUUAUACCUGUUUUUUUUUUUAAGCCAUUUGGAAUGGCUGGCAAGACAGCCCAGGAACCUCACUCAUUCAUGAUGGAACUUGAGCAAAACACUGAUGUGCUGAAGUGUCACUCAUUUCAUGUGGCAAAAUGAAACAUUCAGGCAAAAUACUUAUCUUGACGCUUAAGAGGAGCUGAAUGAUCCAAAGUGGGAGCCAUUCUCUGGGCAAUGCUGCAUAAUUUAAGAGUGGGUAAAUAUGCCUUCAGGGACAACAGAACACAGAACAGAUGUUUGAAAAAAACAAACAAACAAACAAAAAAACAACCCAGAAGAAGCCUUGAAGCUUUGUCCACUCAUGCACUUACUCUUCCCUGGAAAAAUGUACAGGUACAUUCAGAUGUGUUAGUGAGUUAUAGAUCAGAUAUCACAAAGGCCUUUAAGGGUGAAUGUUUUAAAGGCAGUCUCCUUUGGACAGAAAAUAAAGGAAGUUGUCUCUGUCUUCCAGUUCCGAAGUACAGCAUCGUAUUUCUGAUCCUAACCCUAAAUCAAUAAUUAUUGAUCAAACUGACUAAGCUUUUUAGGUUGAUGAGCUCUCUACAAAGCAUUUCUGUUCUCCUCUUGAGCCUCUGCAGGGGCCAACAACUGGUGCUUAACUACUACUUCUACUGCAGAAGGUCACCUGUCCUCCAGCUGUCUCAGAACCUUCUGGGACACUUGCACUUCUAAGAGAGCAACACUGCUAUGGGGGUAAUUCUCAAAAGUGCUAAAUACAGUGGAGCAAAUCCCCGUGGGCUGUACACUUUCUUAAGUCCUGCCCAGGUCUUAGUGGCAAAGUUGAGCAUGAAACCUGUACUGCCAAAAAUACCUGCCCCUUAAGAAGAAAGACAUCUGAAGGUGACUUUGAGGAAAGGAUGAUGUCUUCCACAUUCAACUCAUAAGCUUAAAAACAAACAAACAAAAGCAAGGAAAAAAAAAAAAGCUGCGCUUCCACUAAAAAUCACCACCACUCUUAUCAAUUCAAACAACCGCUGUUAAUUCGGGCUAAAAUAUCUCCCCUGUGUAGCCCAAACUACCACCAUCACCAUCUGAAGAAUUUUUAAACAAAGACUCACCUGGAGACAGAUCUCUGCUAAGAGAGUACAUACUGCAAGGAAGACAGGUAAUCUGGCAAUGCAGUAUGAUGUUACUUUUCUAAUGACAAUUACUCCAGGACAAGGAAAAGACUGAGGCAGGGCUUUGGGGCAGUGUUUCAUGCUCAGCAAGCUUGCAGAGGGAAGGAAUGCAAUUCUAUGAAUCACUUGUACUGUAUUUCUGUUUCUAGACUUGAAUGAAUUUCACUUUUCCUUUGUGGGUCAGCAUAGUAAACAUUAAUGAAAAGGUCUAUUUUUAUAAAUCUCUUUCACCAGUUGAGAGGGCUGACCUGCAGCCACCAGAUAGACUUAUUUAUCCAUAGAGGACAGAAUGUUUAUUUUUACACUAAGAUUACUUACAGCAUUGAAUAAAACAAGGCCUUUGAUCUAAAUCUUAAUAGUAUCACCAAAUUGCAGAAGUAUGUAUGGUGGACAGUUCCAUGUUUCUUCCCAGUAAGUCUCUCAAAAGAAGUUACUCAGAAAUAAACUUCCAAAUGAAGUACAAGAGAUCCUUGUGAUCUAACUACAGGAAAUUUACGAACCAGGAGAAAACUCAAUAAAGUGAGCUAGAUCUCACUAGCUAAAAAAACCUGCAAAUGUAAAGUAAAUGGAAUGUUCUUGGGAUAUUGAGUUGCUUCCUCACGUGAUGCUGUACCCGGUACAUCUGGCUUCAUUUGGCUUCUGUGUUGUGGUUUAUAUGCCAGCCACUGUUAUAAAAACUGUACACAACACCUAUAUUUGCACUGUAAUCUUAAUUCAUUUGCCACUGAUUGUAACCCAAUGCUACAGACUUCUCUGUAUAUAAAACCAUAACCAUGUCCCACUUGCUUUCAAUAGCAUACAAUAAAGGCUUAUAUCUCUAUACUUACUUAUGACUUAUUUGGGUUUUUUAAUUUUAUUUUUGUUUGCAGCGAGGGAACGGGCUUUAAGGUUUUUUGAAGCCUGGGAAGCCAAACCCAUAUGUCUGUUCUGCUUCAGUCAGGUAACAGGCACAGCAGAAAGUUAAGAUAGGCUUCCCAGGCUGCAGUCUUAGCAGAGGUGGCUAUUAAGGAAGCUGCAUUUUGGGCGAUGGAAACAUAAAGUACAUUUACACUGUAA